AGCUUUUCGAAUCCGUGCUUAGAGUUCGUCAGACACCAACCUAUUGGCGCUGAUCAGACUUCCAAGAUAAGUGAAGUU
Molecule: microRNA precursor, 78 nt
Filed under: Schistosoma curassoni
Lineage: Eukaryota; Metazoa; Platyhelminthes; Trematoda; Strigeidida; Schistosomatidae
Description: mir-3492 microRNA precursor family
Rfam family: mir-3492 microRNA precursor family
Source: Rfam by way of RNAcentral